UCUCAUACCUAGAAAUUAGAUUAAAGAAAAACAACUCAUACGGCCACUGACAGUUUGCUCUCUAAAUCUCCAUCGGGCAACCCAAUUGCCGGCCACCAUCAAAAUUCUUGGUUUCGAGAUUGUUACUGACAUCGUUCUUCUCCUUCACUUUUUAUCUUAAUCAUCAAAGUAUUCUGCUUACCAGGGAAUUUGCAUUUGCUGGUGAUUAAAAAAGGCAUCUUCACGGUUACACAGUUUCGCAAUUUGCUACGCACGUGAUCAAUAUUAUUGUUCACUUGGUCAAUGAACUUCAUUUUUUCUCAAAGAAGUGAAAGAAGUUAUUGAAUAAAGUAUAGGUCAAUGACUCAUACGAGACCAUAAUAGCUUAUGAGAGACAGCCUUAAAUAGCUAAGGUAAACGAGUAUCACAAACAUCAAGGAUACAUAAUAUUGCUGAAAAUGGUCAACCUUCUCACGGUACUACUCAUCUUUGUCCUUCCUUUCUAUUGUUUGAGUUUUCCUUCUUGAGUUUUUGUUACUUUUUUGUUGGAGUUGGGCUUACCUUGGAUGCUUCUUACUUUUAUAUAUUUCCUUUUCCCAUAGUUGUUGAUGUCAUAACUAUUUGAAGAAUUUCUACAUCAUUCCAAAAGAAUAUGGACGUAGAUUGGUCGUCAUUUUUAUUACUAAAGUGUCAUCCGAAUUACACUGAUUUUUCAAUUAGGGGUUAUUUGUCUUAUUUAUUUUUCUCCAUAAUGAUAAUUUGGGGUGGUCUUAUUAAAGUUAGAAUUGCGGGCCUAAGGCAUCAAAUAUUCUAUGGUCGAGAUACCUCAGAAGAUCAUCUCGAAGCCUCGAGGCUACAAGGCUAUGGUCGAGUUUCCUCCCUCGAGGUUCGUCGACGCCCGACCUUGGGACAAUGUUGACCACGGCUAUAGUAGAAAUGAGGAGUUCCUAAGGUACACGGCUAGGACUGACAGAGCCUAGUGGACUACCCUAACCCUAAAUUAGGGUAUCAUCUAGCUGUCCCAUCUCCGCUUCUUUGUCAUUAAUAUAUUUUGUACUAUGUUGGAAUUCCCCUUCUAUGUAAAGGGGAUCCUUGUCAUUUUGUAGACCUCUAUUGCUUCAGUCGCUCCACACAAAAUAUAUAAGAAGAUUUGCUCUGCUCUCUAA
Molecule: long non-coding RNA, 1145 nt
Organism: Nicotiana tabacum (common tobacco)
Lineage: Eukaryota; Viridiplantae; Streptophyta; Magnoliopsida; Solanales; Solanaceae
Source: RefSeq, a predicted model, not a curated record